CAUGUCUAUGUCUAAGCAAAGCAUCUAUACUGUGAAACUGCGAAUGGCUCAUUAAAUCAGUUAUCAGUUUAUUUGAUAGUACCUUACUACAUGGAUACCUGUGGUAAUUCUAGAGCUAAUACAUGCUAAAAACCCCGACUUCGGGAGGGGUGUAUUUAUUAGAUAAAAAACCAAUGCCCCUCGGGGCUCCUUGGUGAAUCAUAAUAACUUAACGAAUCGCAUGGCCUUGCGCCGGCGAUGGUUCAUUCAAAUUUCUGCCCUAUCAACUUUCGAUGGUAGGAUAGUGGCCUACCAUGGUGGCAACGGGUAACGGGGAAUUAGGGUUCGAUUCCGGAGAGGGAGCCUGAGAAACGGCUACCACAUCCAAGGAAGGCAGCAGGCGCGCAAAUUACCCAAUCCCGACACGGGGAGGUAGUGACAAUAAAUACUGAUACGGGGCUCUUUUGGGUCUCGUAAUUGGAAUGAGUACAAUCUAAAUCCCUUAACGAGGAACAAUUGGAGGGCAAGUCUGGUGCCAGCAGCCGCGGUAAUUCCAGCUCCAAUAGCGUAUAUUAAAGUUGUUGCAGUUAAAAAGCUCGUAGUUGAACCUUGGGUCUGGCUGGCCGGUCCGCCUCACCGCGAGUACUGGUCCGGCUGGACCUUUCCUUCUGGGGAAUCCCAUGGCCUUCACUGGCUGUGGGUGGAACCAGGACUUUUACUGUGAAAAAAUUAGAGUGUUCAAGCAGGCCUUUGCUCGAAUACAUUAGCAUGGAAUAAUAGAAUAGGACAUGCGGUUCUAUUUUGUUGGUUUCUAGGACCGCCGUAAUGAUUAAUAGGAUAGUCGGGGGCGUCAGUAUUCAGUGUCAGAGGUGAAUUCUUGGAUUUGCUGAAGACUAACUACUGCGAAAGCAUUCGCCAAGGAUGUUUUCUUAAUCAUGGAACGAAAGUUAGGGAUCGAAACGAUCAGAUACCGUCGUAGUCUUAACAUAACUAUGCCGACUAGGAUCGGGCGGCGUUUCUAUGAUGACCCGCCCGCACCUUCCGAGAAAUCAAAGUUUUUGGUUCUGGGGGGAGU
RNAcentral lists this ribosomal RNA (1054 nucleotides) under Aspergillus sydowii. Its description in RNAcentral is "SSU rRNA". It matches the Rfam family "Eukaryotic small subunit ribosomal RNA", at positions 54 to 1124 of the family's 1831-position model. The record is from RNAcentral. Lineage: Eukaryota; Fungi; Ascomycota; Eurotiomycetes; Eurotiales; Aspergillaceae.